This 403-nucleotide ribosomal RNA is filed under the name uncultured bacterium. Its description in RNAcentral is "partial 16S ribosomal RNA". It matches the Rfam family "Bacterial small subunit ribosomal RNA", at positions 28 to 526 of the family's 1533-position model. The record is from RNAcentral.
GACGAACGCUGGCGGCGUGCCUAAUACAUGCAAGUCGAACGCAGUGGGGACGGGUGAGUAACACGUGGGUAACCUCCCAUCAGCGAUGAUAACACUUGGAAACAGGUGCUAAACCGAUACUGAUGUAUGAACCCGCGGUGCAUUAGCUAGUUGGUGAGGUAACGGCCAACCAAGGCCACGAUGCAUAGCCGACCUGAGAGGGUGCACGGCCACAAUGGAACGGAGAAACGACCCAGACUCCUACGGGAGUCAGCAGUGGGGAAUCUUCGGCAAUGGACGAAAGUCUAACCGAGCAACGCCGCGUGAGUGAAGAAGGUUUACGGAUCGAAAAACUCUGGUGUUAGAGAAGCGGUAUCUAACCAGAAAGCCACGGCUAACUCCGUGCCAGCAGCCGCGGUAAUUC